CCUACGGGUGGCAGCAGUGGGGAAUAUUGGACAAUGGGGGGAACCCUGAUCCAGCCAUGCCGCGUGUGUGAAGAAGGCCCUCGGGUUGUAAAGCACUUUCAGUGAGGAAGAACGCCUGGUGGUUAAUACCCAUCAGGAAAGACAUCACUCACAGAAGAAGCACCGGCUAACUCCGUGCCAGCAGCCGCGGUAAUACGGAGGGUGCGAGCGUUAAUCGGAAUUACUGGGCGUAAAGCGCGCGUAGGUGGCUUGAUAAGUCGGUUGUGAAAGCCCCGGGCUCAACCUGGGAACGGCAUCCGGAACUGUCAAGCUAGAGUGCAGGAGAGGAAGGUAGAAUUCCCGGUGUAGCGGUGAAAUGCGUAGAGAUCGGGAGGAAUACCAGUGGCGAAGGCGGCCUUCUGGACUGACACUGACACUGAGGUGCGAAAGCGUGGGUAGCAAACAGGAUUAGAUACCCCUGUAGUC
This 465-nucleotide ribosomal RNA is filed under the name Vreelandella stevensii. RNAcentral's name for it is "partial 16S ribosomal RNA". It matches the Rfam family "Bacterial small subunit ribosomal RNA", at positions 338 to 795 of the family's 1533-position model. The record is from RNAcentral. Lineage: Bacteria; Pseudomonadati; Pseudomonadota; Gammaproteobacteria; Oceanospirillales; Halomonadaceae.